RNAcentral lists this long non-coding RNA (1929 nucleotides) under Homo sapiens (human). RNAcentral describes it as "HSALNT0174924". Lineage: Eukaryota; Metazoa; Chordata; Mammalia; Primates; Hominidae. The record is from RNAcentral.
CCCAGCUACACGGGAGGCUGAGGCAGGAGAAUCACUUGAACCCAGGAGUCGGACAUUGCAGUGAGCUGAGAUUGCACCACUGUACUCCAGCCUGGGCGGCAGAGAGCGACUCUGUCUCAAAAAAAUAAAAAAAUAAAAAAAAAUUUUUAAUGUCUUCCAGGUUCUCAGAAUUCAAAACCUUAAGACAAAAAGCAUCAUUUCUGUAGCUGUAUCCUUCUUUGAUGAAAGCCUUAUUAUCCUAGCGCUAAACAGAGGUUGAUAAUUUGUGUUUUACACUUCAUUAUGCAAAAAAAACCCCACAUUUCUUCAGCACUAUAAUGUUGAUGAGAUGGGAGGGGUACAGUCCACAUUGUUCCAGCCUGUAAAAUGGACAUGCCAUACCAUUCAUUUCCCUCUCCUUGCUUACAGAGAACUGAUGAGAUAGAAGUUGCAGAUGACCAAGUUUACUGAAAAUGGGUGCUGUGAGUGAAAGAAAGAGGAAUGGAUUAAAUUUAAAAUGACACUACUUCAGCCAUCUCAGCAUCUGGGUUGGUGGACAAAACUAGAGGACUGGCGUUUCUGGGGGCACGUGUCAGGAAGCACUGAUCUGGUGACUUUUGGAGGAAAAAGCUGGCUUAUUCGGGUCCAGUCAUCAUGGUCCAUUUACUGUUUUGUAGUACCUCCAGAAUUGUCUCUCUUUUCUAUCUAUUUCUCCCAAAAAUAGGAUUUCUCCUCUUUACAAAUGUCACAGAAGGAAGCUCUAAAGAGUGAUUUCCAGCAUCCAUACAAGUGAAAAGUUCAGCUCCCAAGAGGAGCAGACAACGUCCGCAAAGCAAACCAAGCAAGACCCAUGGGGCCAAGGCAUUAAGUGGUUUCUCAGGGUGGUGGAAUGUGGCUGCUUCCCUGCUUCUCCCAGAGAAGCUUUAAAUGUGUAGGUAACUUCCCAGACCACCAGAAGGCACCAACAUGGGAAAAACAGAUCCAGUCACUGGCCCAGAGAGUCAGAAAUCAGCCCAUCCAGGUGACCCCGCUUAGGCUCCUGUUCAUGCACUUGUCAAAGGCCAGCCCAGCCCAAGGAGGGGGAAAGAAUUAGACAGAGGAUCAGCUUUUUAUUUUCAUGUACAAAGCACUUGCCCUCGGGUUAUAAAUGUUAUUGCAUUUGUGUAGCACUUUACUGCUGCCCUCAGCUUGCAAGCAUCACAGGAUCCCAGUGGCAGUACUUUCUUAACCCUUGAUCAAUAGCUUAUUUCUAUCGCCUUCAGUCCCAGCUGCCAAUCCGUUCUGUAAAAUGUGGGAGGCAGACUUCGCUGCUCUCCAGCUGUACAUGUUAUGAAUGUAAACGGUGCAAGUAACAUAUGUAUUAUACGUAUGUGUGUGUGUGUACUGAGUGGGGGACAUGAGAUUUUUGAACAAGGAGUAACAAAAAUGGGACCCUUGUUCUGGGAGACUCCCAUACAGCUGGGAGUUUUCUUUCUAGUUUCUCCUUUUCUCUCUUUCUCUCUCUCUGAAACGAUGUGCUUGGUAUUCUGUCAUGUGGCAGGAGAAAUUCUCUCUUAAGUUUCUGUGUUUUUAUUUGAUAUAUAUUUGGGGGAAGGGGUGAAAAGUGGACAGAAAGAUCUAAGUUCCAAGAAAGAAAGGGUCAUGUCCAUCUUAUUUAUCACCCCUGUAGUCCCAGCACCUACACUGAGCCUAGCACAGAACAGGUGCUCAGGAAGUAUUUGUUGACUAAAUGAAUGAAUUCAGGAAUGGGAGGAUAAGAGGGCCCCAGAGCAAUCCUCUGGAGCUGCCUGAGCAAAGAGGCAAAGGCCUUGUCUUGCUGGCAGCAAGGGGGACCACAAAAGGUUUAAUGGGCAUCUACUUUAUUUAUUUUAUUUUUAUUUUUUGAGAUGGAGUCUUGCUCUGUCUCCAGGCUGGAGUGCAGUGGCGUGAUUUCGGCUCACUGCAACCUCC